CCUUCGGUAGUACAGUUGGUAACACCUCAGCGCAAUGAUUUUGUGUCUUAGGUUCGAAUCCUUGCCGGAGGG
This is a non-coding RNA of Halocaridina rubra (Hawaiian volcano shrimp), 72 nucleotides long. Lineage: Eukaryota; Metazoa; Arthropoda; Malacostraca; Decapoda; Atyidae. The record is from the annotation of a GenBank genome assembly.